UGUCUAAAAAUGACUACAAAACGAAGUUUGUUUGUGCGGUUGGUACCAUGUCGCUGUCUACGAGGGGAAGAGGAGACUGUCACUACUCUUGAUUAUUCUCAUUGCAGCUUAGAACAAGUUCCGAAAGAGAUUUUUACUUUUGAAAAAACCUUGGAGGAACUCUAUUUAGAUGCUAAUCAGAUUGAAGAGCUUCCAAAGCAACUUUUUAACUGUCAGUCUUUACACAAACUGAGUUUGCCAGACAAUGAUUUAACAACGUUACCAGCAUCCAUUGCAAACCUUAUUAAUCUCAGGGAACUGGAUGUCAGCAAGAAUGGAAUACAGGAGUUUCCAGAAAAUAUAAAAAAUUGUAAAGUUUUGACAAUUGUGGAGGCCAGUGUAAACCCUAUUUCCAAGCUCCCUGAUGGAUUUUCUCAGCUGUUAAACCUAACCCAGUUGUAUCUGAAUGAUGCUUUUCUUGAGUUCUUGCCAGCAAAUUUUGGCAGAUUAACUAAACUCCAAAUAUUAGAGCUUAGAGAAAACCAGUUAAAAAUGUUGCCUAA
This 542-nucleotide non-coding RNA is filed under the name Homo sapiens (human). The record is from RNAcentral. Lineage: Eukaryota; Metazoa; Chordata; Mammalia; Primates; Hominidae.